GCUGGCGGUGCGCCUUAUGCAUGCAAGUCGAGCGAAGCUUUUCAGUAGUUUACUACAGAAAAUGACUGAGCGGCGAACGGGUGAGUAACGCGUGAGCAAUCUACCUUAGUUACAGGAAUAGCCCGAGGAAACUCGGAUUAAUACCUGAUAUUCUUUUUAUCUCGCAUGAGAUUUUAAGGAAAGGUCAGCCGAACUAAGAUGAGCUCGCGUUCUAUCAGCUAGUUGGUGAGGUAAUAGCUCACCAAGGCUACGACGGAUAGCUGGUCUGAGAGGACGAUCAGCCACACUGGGACUGAGACACGGCCCAGACUCCUACGGGAGGCUGCAGCAGGGAAUAUUGCGCAAUGAGCGAAAGCUUGACGCAGCGACACCGCGUGUGGGAUGACGGAUCUAGGUUUGUAAACCACUUUCAGGAGGGAAGAAAAUGACGGUACCUCCACAAGAAGCCCCGGCCAACUACGUGCCAGCAGCCGCGGUAAUACGUAGGGGGCGAGCGUUGUCCGGAUUUAUUGGGCGUAAAGAGCUCGUAGGCGGUUCAACAAGUCGGUCGUGAAAGUUCAGGGCUCAACCCUGAAAUGUCGAUCGAUACUGUUGUGACUAGGAUACGGUAGAGGUGAGUGGAAUUCCGAGUGUAGCGGUGAAAUGCGUAGAUAUUC
Molecule: ribosomal RNA, 656 nt
Filed under: uncultured bacterium
Lineage: Bacteria
Description: bacterial SSU rRNA
Rfam family: Bacterial small subunit ribosomal RNA
Source: RNAcentral